UACGGAGGAUCCAAGCGUUAUCCGGAUUUACUGGGUUUAAAGGGUGUGUAGGCGGACUUUUAAGUCAGCGGUGAAAUCUCCGGGCUCAACCCGGAAACUGCCAUUGAUACUAUUAGUCUUGAAUCUUGUUGAGGUGGGCGGAACGGGUCAUGUAGCGGUGAAAUGCAUAGAUAUGACCCGGAACACCGAUUGCGAAGGCAGCCCACUAAGCAAGUAUUGACGCUGAGGCACGAAAGCGUGGGGAUCAAACAGG
Molecule: ribosomal RNA, 253 nt
Filed under: uncultured bacterium
Lineage: Bacteria
Description: partial 16S ribosomal RNA
Rfam family: Bacterial small subunit ribosomal RNA
Source: RNAcentral